Molecule: ribosomal RNA, 165 nt
Filed under: uncultured bacterium
Lineage: Bacteria
Description: partial 16S rRNA
Rfam family: Bacterial small subunit ribosomal RNA
Source: RNAcentral
UAGGGAAUCUUCGGCAAUGGACGAAAGUCUGACCGAGCAACGCCGCGUGAGUGAAGAAGGUUUUCGGAUCGCAAAACUCUGUUGGUAGAGAAGAACGUUGGUGAGAGUGGAAAGCUCAUCAAGUGACGGUAACUACCCAGAAAGGGACGGCUGACUACGUGCCAG